CACAAUCUUGUGAGCCAUGGCUUUCUCUAAGAACUUCCAUGCAAUGGGCACAUUGUUAUCCCAACAAAUGUGAGAUACCAGAAGGUUGGCUAGUUCAGAAGAAGGUAAAGAAACCCCCAAAGAACUCAACUUUGAGGACACUUUAAUUGCCCACAAUAAUGGGUCGCAGCCCUGUUCUUGGGACGCCUUGGUUAGUUCCAAGACACCGUUCCAGGGGUUGAGGUACAACUGCGAGCACAUCUCCAUUACGAAGCUUACAGGAUCAUAAUCUAUGUCUCUGUGUGUUCAUAUGGGGUUGUUUAUGUGCGCGCGCGCGCGCGUUAGAUGAUUGUAUGGUGAAAGAUAUUAUUCGUUUGAACAGAGAGGUUGGUGCGCCGAUUGGUGCGAUGUGGUUGAUCCAAAUGUUAAAGUUGAACUGAAAAGUUGGCUAAUGGAGUUCCGGGGAAAAGAAACACUUAAAUAUGGGAGCGUGUGUCAAUAAUGCCAUGAAUCACCACAUGAACCAGCUUAGUUGGCAUUGAACUCCACCAUUUUUAAAUAUCUUUUUCUUUAAACAUUUUCAAACGUAUUUCAUGAAUUCAUAAUUUGUCUUUAAUUUUUAACUACAAUUCUCCAAAAAAAUUACUUUUUAAGUGAAAAUCUCUUCCUCCUAAAUAAACGCUAAAAUAUUUUAAGAUUUAGGAAAAUUAUAUUUGAGGUUCCAAACCUUUUACUUAAUUGUAAACCACACCUAAAUUUUUCACUUAUUGCAAUCAUAGUCAGAAACCUUGCAUUUCAUUGCAGUUGUAAAACAAAUGAUCGUUUGUUGGCCAAAAUUGAUCCUCAAUCCGAAUGAAGUAAUUUUAUAAAAACUUAUCGCAAUUAAAUUGACCUCAACUCAAAAUGAAUUCAGAUAGAAUAAUAUAUAUAUAUAUAUAUAUAUAUAUUGUGUGCUAGAUUUUGAUUUCAAAUAGAAUACAUAUUAAUGGUCUGAGGUAGGUAGAGAUGAUGACAAGCUAAUAUCCCAAUUAUAGUAUAUAUAUAUAUAUAUAUAUAUAUAUAUAUAUAUAUAUAUUGUGUGCUAGAUUUUGAUUUCAAAUAGAAUACAUAUUAAUGGUCUGAGGUAGGUAGAGAUGAUGACAAGCUAAUAUCCCAAUUAUAGUCGGCCUCGUGAUGAUAUUGCUUAGUUUUAGAAUUAAUUAAAAGCAACUUUUUGUAUCAAUGAGGACAAGUAUAGUUGUGUUUGUGGCAUCUUUAUAUUAUAGCUUGUUCAUGAUGGUAACUUGGUUGGUAAGCACUACUUGCUCAUGGCCAAUAUGUAAAUAUCAUGCCAAAUGGAAUUAUGGGUCCAUCAUUAGUCAAAUUCAUCAAAUUUAUUUGCUCGAAUCCGACAAAUUUCAAUGUUCUAGUUUCAUAUAUUUUUUGCUCGAAAAUGUCUUUUUACAAAUAAUCGAUUUCGAUAAUUCUUCCUAUCAAAUUACUAUGUUAAUGGAGAUAAAAAUAAAAAUACAAAUUUUUAGAUGAGAUUAAUUGCAACCUAGAAAGCGAAACCCCACUUUGGGAAGCUUUGCUUCGGUCAUGGUAAAAGUUACAAUAAAAUGAUAAGAUCUUAAAAAAUAUAUUCAGACUUCUACCCAACCGAGUCUCCCAUAACUUAGCUUAUUAUUUUUUUAAAAAGUACUAUUCUUUACCUUACAUUAGUGUUACGGCUAUUGUUGAAAAAAGUGGCACGAAUUUCGUGUAUGCUUCUAUUAUGUUUUGCAAUUGUUAUAUAAUUAUUUUUUUCGGGUUACGAGAAAUUAAGGUGGACAAGACACUAAAUCUCCAUACAUUUUAAUACAUUUCCUUGUAAUUCAUAUAUUUUCAGUUUUAGGUUAAGAAAAUUCAACGGUGAAUUUUAAUCGGUGGAGUUAGUAUUUUACAGGCUUUCAAUCACUUUCGUAAUCUCUCUCAUCCUUUGAGAACGCUAAUUUAUAUACUGUUUAUGGUGUUGAUUCGUAGAGGUAAAGAGAGAAAGCUGUAAAAAAUUGACAUAAUGCCAAAAAGAACAAAGAAAGAUAUAUGAUGGUUAAGUUUGUCUUUGUUUACAAGAUAUUCAAAGAAUUAUUGCAAUUUUACAUUGUGAGAGAAAUAUAAUAUAAUGUAUCCAAUGCAAAUAUUAGUUGUUACAUCUACUUUAAUUUAUUUAUAAAGUAUUAAUAUUUAUAAGAAAAUAUAUUGGGUUAUACGUUUCAAUAAUCCACAAGAAAUAUCAAUAGCUGCCUCAUGUAUAGGUCUAGUUGGUAUGACUAACCAACCAAUAAUAUGUUAUAAUUGGUUGGCCCUAAGAUAGGAAUUGACUUCUUACCAUUUUUAUUUUUAUUUUUUUUUUCAUUUUUGGCAAUUUUUUUGUGAAGAAGCAAUGGACAUUGUACAUGUAAAUCAAAACUAAUAUGGCAUAUUGCUUUAAAUCAAAUAAUAGAUGUAAUAAUGAAUAGACAGAAGCGACAAAAAAGAAUUCAUGUAAAUGAUUAUAUAAUUCAAUAUCAAUAGUGAAUGUUCAUGAUUGCAAAAAAUUUCUUGUUUAGAGAGAAAUAAUUCUUAAAAACAUACGACAAUUUUACUAUACUAAUUGCACACUUGAGAUCAAAUGAAAUGAUAUUUUUCAAAUAAUGUUUAUAUUACAAUGAAGCAAAAACGAAGUGACUAAAUGUCAUCAUCCAAUUUGAACUCAUAACUCUUUGAAUCACCAUGCAAGCUUGUCACAAGAGAAGCCUUCUAAUAAUCUCCCACCCUUCUCUCUCAAAGAAGUUAAGAUUUUCCUUUGUUAAACCGGAAUGAAGAUUACAAAAAAAAAAAAAAAAAAAAAAAUUUAAAAAAUUAACUUUAAAAAAAAAAAAAAGUUUCAUGUUAAUCACUUAACAUCACUUAGGUUAGGCUACCACGUGUCACACUUUAUUAGAGAACAUUUAACCGAGUGACAAAAUUGAAAUGAAAAGCAACUUCAGUAACAACUUCAAAACAAAAUAAAGUUCAGAAACUAAAAUGAAAUUUCGUUAUUAGCUGAGUGGCUAACAAUGUUUUUAAUCCUAAAAGUCACAAAAAUUAAAAAACGAUUCUGUGACAAGAAUAUAUGCAGCCACAGAACAACACAUAUCGAGUGGUUUACCAGCUCCAUCAAGCCACUAACAAGCAAUGUUAAGACGAUUUGAUAGAUUCAUGAAACAACCAACUAUUAAGGAGCCUUUUCUUAAACAUUUAAAACACAUGCAAAAUGUUCCUCAUAAUUACCAUAAUUCACAAAGUAUCAGAUUAUUGAUUGAGUUUAUACUUGUAAUGCUAUAAAUUCCAUCCAAUCAAAAGGGGUUUUCAACAUGGGUAAAUGGAGCAAAACGUCUCUACCUUUCAAACUUAUUGUGGAAAACGUUAUUACCUUUUAUUUUUAGACAUUUUUGCCCAUAUUUCCACAUUUUUUUGCGCUAAACGUCUUUUUUACCAUUUUUUGACUUAAAAUGACCAAAAUACCCUUCUAUUUAAACCAAAAAAUAAAAAUAAAAAAUUGCAACUAUAAUCCCAAACUUUCAAUAUGUGCAAAUCAGCCCAAAAAUGAAAAAAAGGUCACCAAACCAAAUCGACCACCACUUUGAAGCCAAAAAACUCCGGCCAACCACCGCCAAAACCAUCUGACCUCCUUACUGUCGGAUAGCCCUCACUUCCCUCUACACAUAUCCAAUUACCAUGCCAACAAAUUUGGUAGAAAUCGCAAGCCAAAAUAUCAAAUUCGCAAAUGCAAAUACGGGGUGGCACCACCUGUUCCGACAAGACUCAUGCCAUUUGUAAAGCACUAAAACAAGUACAUAUAUCAAUUUUUUACUGAGGUUUAUGACAGAAAUCACUUCACCAGCAAUCAUUUCAAUUGCACUAGUAGCAUAAACUUGAUAACCAUCCAUAGCAUCUUCUAGGAGCAAAUCAAGAGGAAGCCAAAAAGCAGAACGACCAACUCCAAGACAGAGACCAGCAGAAUCAUUCAGGGGCGUGGAUUGUAGUAUACCAUGAAACUCUUGCAAGGAAUUUUUCAAGCAAUAAUGAGACAUGUUUUUUUGCUUAUCUGAUAUCAAAUGUAAAAGACCAUCUGGUGUCAUAACUUCUGAAUUUCUCAAGGCUAAUGAAUUUUUUGCGAGCAGUUGAAUUCGCAGGAUAAAACCUCCCCAUUCCAUAGACCUAGCAGAGGGACAAACAAGUUAUUAUGCCAUAACAGUAUUGGGAUGAUCUCAGAAUGAUACAUUGGAGCCUAGAAACAAAUUGAUAAUAAUGUAUAAACCUCGGGCGAAGGCUAUUAUUAGAGGUGUCAGAUUGAUAGGUUCCCUCUAAAUAUAAACCCAACUAUAUAGUUCACAUUACUUUUACAUUAUUUAUUUCUAUGAUUCAUCAAACUCCAUAUGGAUUUGUAAUCAUGUAAACUAAAUGGUAUGUGCUUGAUGUGAGGCGCAAAAAAUGACUCAUCGCCAAUUUACUUCCGCUGACCACAUAUAAAAUAGUAUAGUCAAAUAAAGGCAGAGAAACUUCUAAAUUAAACUUCAAAGAAGGAUAGAGUUCUGACAUGUUUUGGCGUGCCAAGUAAAGAAUUCUGGAAGUUACUUUAUUUUUGAGAAACUUCCCAAUCAACUCUAUAGCCAUAACGGUAUUAUAAGCCUUCAAUCUCUCUCUAUGUUCAUUCUUCUUCUCAUUAUAACUAUCAUCGCGAUCUACAUCCAUGUCUUGUGUUUCAGUCGGCCAUUUAGAUUGCUUCUCUGGAGUAAGCUGCAGCAGUCCCUCAUCAUCUAAUGAUGCAUCAACUAACUGCCAGACAAUUGAAAACACGAACUGGACCAAAUGAACACCGGGCUCAUUCGUUUGCAGAGUAAAUAUCUGAGAGAAAUUAAGGAUAGUAUCCAAUGAAUUCAUGAUCCUACAUUGAGACGAGAGGUCAGAAAACAUAUAUCACUCAACAUUUAAUUCAAGCAGAAAAACAAAAAUGAUCAAAGUAAAUGAUAAAAACAGAUUUGUCCUACUAAAAUCUUUUACAUUAUAAGUGAAAGCCUUUAUGUGGCCUCUGUUGUAACAUAUCAUUGAUACGAUCUUAAAGAAAUUAGGAUGAGAUAUAAGUCAGGAACAAAGAAUUUUCUGAUUCGAGUCAGGCCAGCUUGACAUCUAAAUUCGUCAGCCAGCAAUAUAGACAGUAUAUCAUAUUUUUAUUGCCCAAAAUCCCAGUGUCAUAAAUCCGAGUUCUAACAAUGCUCUUAGUUGAUGUCAUUCUCUAUGACUAUAUGCCUCAUUACUGGUUAAAAACAAUGAAAGUACUCAUGUAAUGUGUCACUACUUAGCUCUCUGAUUAUUCAGAGAAUGAUUCAAGUACUACAUCACAAGGGAAAAUGAACCAACCAAGAGGUUUGAAAGUAACCACUGGAUACACCACCUGCAGUUUCAUAUGGCCUCCAACAAAUGUUCUUUUUUGCUAGUUCAGAAACAACCACCCACAUUAAACUAGAAUGAAGAAGGUGAUUUGCUAAAAAUAAGGUUAAAUGGUGUUUUCUUAGAGCUUUACAAAUUGAAAAAAGGAACUAAGCAACUUAGCAUGAAUAAUAGAGAUCAAUAAAACUGUUAUAAUUCAGACCAUAUCUGAAACCACUUUGUUAUAAAAAGGGGAGGCGAAUAUGACAUAAUAUGAGGUAUAUGAUCGCACACAAAAAACAAGAUUAAAAGCAAACAAUAGAUUGAUAGAGGAACCGAGUAUUUUAUUCAACGACCAAAGGAGAAAAUAAUAUUGUUACAACAAUCUUAGCAAUACUUAAACUGAAUGAAGAAUCUACUAUUUAUAGAGGUAUGUCAAAACCCUAAAAGUAACCUAAAAGAUGGAAAUUAGGUCAAAAUACGCGUAAAACUGACAAAAGGAGAAAACCUCGCGCAACACCGUCACUCGAGUGCCGUCUGGAGUGAGGCGAGCGACUGCCGUGUCGACGAACUUGGGCGACAACUUCCUGCUCCAAAUGUUCGCCUACUGCCCAAGCAGCCAGCUAGCGAAAAUGCGGCGACCUUUCUUUCCGAUCCAUAAUUUUGAUCUCUCAAAGACCACUACUCCAAACCACGUAACCCUAAACCGAAUUUGGAUUACAAACCCAACAAAAACUAAAUAUGAGCUUGAUAAAGCAUCACACCCAAUAAAGUUGUGGCGUCAUUCUCACUACUUAAAAAUAACAAACACUCAUCUUUGGUAAGGGAAUCGAUGUGUAAUGUUUAAAAUAGUACAUAGAGAAAUAUAUGUUGACAGCAGACAAUAAAAACGGCUUUGGUAAAAAUUAAAUACUCACUUCUGAUAUUCUGGCAGAGUUGAAUAUCGUUUAAGCGUGAAGGCAUGUCUUUCAAGGAGUUCCAUAUAAAGCCUAAAUGCUGCUGGAUGAGAAUGCCGAUAUGGCAUUACCCUGUUAAAAAGUUAAGAAACAAUGAUACAGUUCAAUUUGUGCCAAAGUGAGAAAUCAAAUGCAGAAACAUUAAAAAAUUGUAUUCUUUUGAUUAAGUGUUUUGUUGAAUAUCUAACAGGUUGAAUCCCUCUGUUUAACACCAUAGACUCAAAUUGCAUUGCCAGUAAAGAGAUUAUACAUCCGUCAUAAUGAGUUUGCAGGUAGUUCACAACAGGAUGAAUUUAUCUGCCUCUACAUUAUCGAUGAAAAAUGUUAAUUAAAAAUAAUAAUAAUAAUAAUUGUUACUUCAGCAUUCAAUACUAAAGCAAAAAUACAUGAUACAAACAGGACAACAUAAUCAGUGGAAUGUAUUGCCAAAUCUAAUUACAACAUUCAUUUAAAAUAUGUUAAAAAUAGGCAGCUAAGACAUGUUUGAUGCCAUAAACAGAAAAUAACAGCUCCUACAAAAGAUGAUAUUGAAUGCACCUCACUAAUAUAGAAAUCAAUAACACAAUGUCAAAGACUUGAGCAAAAGCGAUUCUAGAUUCUUAUUACAAAGAAAGAAUCAAUCUUGUACCUCUUGAAAGAUGGAAACAACUGUUACAUCUCACAAUAAAAACAUACACAAAUUGAAAAUACAUUUCAAAAUAAAAACAAACACAAAUUGAAAAAUGUCGAAAUAAGUACUGUUUUAAAAAGUACCUGACAUCAUUGAACAGAAUACUUACCAUUAGUAAAAGAAAAAAUCAUUAAUUUCAAAAAUGAGUUAAUGAAUAAUCAAUGAAAUAUUUUAAAUCAGAUUGAACGCAGCAGCAUCCUUCCAAUUCAAGUAUUCAUCAUUAUUUUUUACAAGGGACCCACAAAUUAAAAUGGAAUCCAACCCACAUCAAUGUAAUGAUAGUUAAUACAGAUAAAUUCUCACUCCAUUAUCAAUCGAGCACCAAAACCACCAAAUCCAGUAUCAACUAAAACUAUUUGAAAAUGCACAACGACAUAAAUAGCAAGCAUUUUCAAGAACAAAACAGCACUAAAGAUUGAAACACCUAAAACCUGUUGAGUGAGUCAUCUGAGAACAAGUAUUGGGAGUAAAACCUGAUACACUAUAAAAUUGAUUUACCAAGGAACAAAAGAAAGUAAAGGUUGACAGUUUCAGACAAACACGUGUAAUUAAAGCGGAAAAAAGAGCGAAGACCAGAAACUAGAGAGGAACCUUGUGGAGAGGAGGCCCAAAACGAGUAACGAAGGCACAAUCUUGUGAGCCAUGGCUUUCUCUAAGAACUUCCAUGCAAUGGGCACAUUGUUAUCCCAACAAAUGUGAGAUACCAGAAGGUUGGCUAGUUCAGAAGAAGGUAAAGAAACCCCCAAAGAACUCAACUUUGAGGACACUUUAAUUGCCCACAAUAAUGGGUCGCAGCCCUGUUCUUGGGACGCCUUGGUUAGUUCCAAG
This 7842-nucleotide long non-coding RNA is filed under the name Olea europaea (common olive). RNAcentral's name for it is "long non-coding RNA (OEUR_LNC009490)". Lineage: Eukaryota; Viridiplantae; Streptophyta; Magnoliopsida; Lamiales; Oleaceae. The record is from RNAcentral.